RNAcentral lists this ribosomal RNA (407 nucleotides) under Verrucomicrobiota bacterium. RNAcentral describes it as "Verrucomicrobia bacterium partial 16S ribosomal RNA". It matches the Rfam family "Bacterial small subunit ribosomal RNA", at positions 355 to 776 of the family's 1533-position model. The record is from RNAcentral. Lineage: Bacteria; Pseudomonadati; Verrucomicrobiota.
UGGGGAAUAUUGGACAAUGGAGGCAACUCUGAUCCAGCAAUUCUGUGUGUGUGAAGAAGGUUUUAGGACUGUAAAACACUUUUAGUAGGGAAGAAAAAAAUGACGGUACCUACAGAAGAAGCGACGGCUAAAUACGUGCCAGCAGCCGCGGUAAUACGUAUGUCGCGAGCGUUAUCCGGAAUUAUUGGGCUUAAAGGGCAUCUAGGCGGUUAAACAAGUUGAAGGUGAAAACCUGUGGCUCAACCAUAGGCUUGCCUACAAAACUGUAUAACUAGAGUACUGGAAAGGUGGGUGGAACUACACGAGUAGAGAUGAAAUUCGUAGAUAUGUGUAGGAAUGCCGAUGAUGAAGAUAACUCACUGGACAGCAACUGACGCUGAAGUGCGAAAGCUAGGGGAGCAAACAGG